RNAcentral lists this ribosomal RNA (498 nucleotides) under uncultured Glomeromycotina. RNAcentral describes it as "partial small subunit ribosomal RNA". It matches the Rfam family "Eukaryotic small subunit ribosomal RNA", at positions 591 to 1092 of the family's 1831-position model. Lineage: Eukaryota; Fungi; Glomeromycota. The record is from RNAcentral.
CCAAUAGCGUAUAUUAAAGUUGUUGCAGUUAAAAAGCUCGUAGUUGAAUUUCGGGGUUCUUCCGUUGGUCAGGCUAACCAGUCUGUACUAGCGUGUAGAACCCCUACCUUCUGGGGAACCAUCAUGUUAUUAAUUUAGCGUGGUGGGAAACCAGGACCUUUACCUUGAAAAAAUUAGAGUGUUCAAAGCAGGCUUACGUCUGAAUACAUUAGCAUGGAAUAAUAAAAUAGGACGGUGGUCCUGUUUUGUUGGUUUCUGAAUCACCGUAAUGAUUAAUAGGGAUAGUUGGGGGCAUUAGUAUUCAAUUGUCAGAGGUGAAAUUCUUGGAUUUAUUGAAGACUAACUUCUGCGAAAGCAUUUGCCAAGGAUGUUUUCAUUAAUCAAGAACGAAAGUUAGGGGAUCGAAGACGAUCAGAUACCGUCGUAGUCUUAACCAUAAACUAUGCCGACUAGGGAUCGGACGAUGUUAAAUUUUAUUGACUCGUUCGGCGCCUUACG